AGGGAAGUGCGCCUCCACCCAUGCGUCUCAUCAUCGUAAUUUUUUUGAAGUUCACUUUUGAUAUUUUUGCUAUAGAUUAAAAAGCAUUAGUAAAGAAAAGGGUGAAUUGAUAUCGGGAAUGCAAUUCUAUUGGUUGAUGCAGUUCACUCGGGUGUUCAUCGGAAUGCGUGACGAUGCACUCCCGCUGCUGUUGACUUGCGGUUCAUAGGCGGGUGGUGCAGAUAGUUUCCUUGUGCAGUUCUUACGCUUAUUUCUAUUUGUUUCAAAGUGAAAAAUGUAGCCCUAUUCUUUUGCUCUUGAUGUUCAUUUUACUUCUUUUGUAGGAAAAUAUGAAGUCAUGAAGUUCGACUGGAUGCCCUAUUACUCAAUUUUCUUGUUGUUAGAAACUAGACUUCAUUAGUUCAUUGUAAAAAAUGCAAUUCAUUACCACGAUGGUGUAGUUAUAUUUUAGUUAGUAUAGAUAUUUUAUGUGUGUGUGGUUGUGGAAAACAAUCAAAUAGAUAUGUAUGCUUUGAAGCUCACUUUGUUCUCUCACGUACUACGUGAAGCUACUGCUCCACACGCUGUACUCUUGUGUAUCUUGAUGCGGUGCGGUGCAUCGCCGCGUUCAGUUCGGGACCAUUUUUUGAAAUUUUUCUUAGGCACAACACCGUAGUACGCCCGAGACAUGCAGUGCAGCUGGGCAUUCAGUUGCAACAAUUUUCUUGUUGAUUUUCUAGUUUUAUAAAAAAUUUCAGUUGCAGAUCACAGCUACAACACUUACUUUCAAUGCGGUUUACUUCUAUGUGUUUACUUCUAGUUACUAUUGCGG
RNAcentral lists this long non-coding RNA (811 nucleotides) under Hordeum vulgare. RNAcentral's name for it is "long non-coding RNA (HVUL_LNC007324)". Lineage: Eukaryota; Viridiplantae; Streptophyta; Magnoliopsida; Poales; Poaceae. The record is from RNAcentral.